RNAcentral lists this ribosomal RNA (253 nucleotides) under uncultured bacterium. RNAcentral describes it as "partial 16S ribosomal RNA". It matches the Rfam family "Bacterial small subunit ribosomal RNA", at positions 524 to 776 of the family's 1533-position model. The record is from RNAcentral.
GACGGAGGUCCCGAGCGUUGUUCGGAAUUAUUGGGCUUAAAGCGCGUGUAGGCGGAACGGUAAGUACCUUGUGAAAUCCCCGGACUCAAUCCGGGAACUGCUCGGUAUACUGCCGAUCUUGAGGCAGGUAGGGGUCACUGGAACCUUAGGUGGAGCGGUGAAAUGCGUAGAUAUCUAAGGGAACGCCUGUGGCGAAAGCGGGUGACUGGGCCUGUCCUGACGCUGAGACGCGAAAGCGUGGGGAGCAAACAGG